Molecule: ribosomal RNA, 1141 nt
Filed under: uncultured bacterium
Lineage: Bacteria
Description: bacterial SSU rRNA
Rfam family: Bacterial small subunit ribosomal RNA
Source: RNAcentral
AAAGUUUUUCGAUUGGGGAUGGGCUCGCGGCCUAUCAGUUUGUUGGUGGGGUAAUGGCCUACCAAGGCGACGACGGGUAGCCGGCCUGAGAGGGCGACCGGCCACACUGGGACUGAGACACGGCCCAGACUCCUACGGGAGGCAGCAGUGGGGAAUAUUGCACAAUGGGGGAAACCCUGAUGCAGCGACGCAGCGUGCGGGAUGACGGCCUUCGGGUUGUAAACCGCUUUCAGUAGGGAAGAAGCCUUUGUGGUGACGGUACCUGCAGAAGAAGUACCGGCUAACUACGUGCCAGCAGCCGCGGUAAUACGUAGGGUACGAGCGUUGUCCGGAAUUAUUGGGCGUAAAGAGCUCGUAGGUGGUUGGUCACGUCUGCUGUGGAAACGCAACGCUUAACGUUGCGCGGGCAGUGGGUACGGGCUGACUAGAGUGCAGUAGGGGAGUCUGGAAUUCCUGGUGUAGCGGUGAAAUGCGCAGAUAUCAGGAGGAACACCGGUGGCGAAGGCGGGACUCUGGGCUGUAACUGACACUGAGGAGCGAAAGCAUGGGGAGCGAACAGGAUUAGAUACCCUGGUAGUCCAUGCCGUAAACGUUGGGCACUAGGUGUGGGGGGCAUUCCACGUUCUCCGCGCCGUAGCUAACGCAUUAAGUGCCCCGCCUGGGGAGUACGGUCGCAAGGCUAAAACUCAAAGGAAUUGACGGGGGCCCGCACAAGCGGCGGAGCAUGCGGAUUAAUUCGAUGCAACGCGAAGAACCUUACCAAGGCUUGACAUACACUGGACCGUUCUGGAAACAGUUCUUCUCUUUGGAGCUGGUGUACAGGUGGUGCAUGGUUGUCGUCAGCUCGUGUCGUGAGAUGUUGGGUUAAGUCCCGCAACGAGCGCAACCCUCGUUCUAUGUUGCCAGCACGUGAUGGUGGGAACUCAUAGGAGACUGCCGGGGUCAACUCGGAGGAAGGUGGGGAUGACGUCAAAUCAUCAUGCCCUUUAUGUCUUGGGCUUCACGCAUGCUACAAUGGCUGGUACAGAGAGAGGCGAACCCGUGAGGGUGAGCGAAUCCCUUAAAGCCAGUCUCAGUUCGGAUCGUAGUCUGCAAUUCGACUACGUGAAGUCGGAGUCGCUAGUAAUCGCAGAUCAGCAAC